This 75-nucleotide transfer RNA is filed under the name Acidimicrobiales bacterium. RNAcentral's name for it is "tRNA-Pro". It matches the Rfam family "tRNA". From Rfam's summary of the family: Transfer RNA (tRNA) molecules are approximately 80 nucleotides in length. Their secondary structure includes four short double-helical elements and three loops (D, anti-codon, and T loops). The record is from RNAcentral. RNAcentral also lists the same sequence under 2 other names. Lineage: Bacteria; Bacillati; Actinomycetota; Acidimicrobiia; Acidimicrobiales.
CGGGGAGUAGCGCAGCGGAAGCGCACCUGCUUUGGGUGCAGGAGGCCGGGGGUUCAAAUCCCCCCUCCCCGACCA